Molecule: long non-coding RNA, 873 nt
Filed under: Mus caroli (Ryukyu mouse)
Lineage: Eukaryota; Metazoa; Chordata; Mammalia; Rodentia; Muridae
Description: lncRNA (MGP_CAROLIEiJ_G0004430.1)
Source: RNAcentral
ACAUCUCUCUCUCCUCUCCUGAGUCUCUCUCCUCACUGCACCUGAGUCCUCUCUACUGACAACAUGGGUUGCUGUGGCUGUGGUGGCUGUGGCUGUGGCGGCUGUGGCUGUGGUGGCUGUGGCUGUGGUGGCUGUGGCUGNNNNNNNNNNNGGUGGCUGCUGCGGUUGUUGUGGCUGCUGCAGGCCUACAGUAGUCUGCUGUUGCCGUCGCACCUGCUGCCGCUCCUGUGGCUGUGGCUCCUGUGGCUGCGGCUGUGGCUGUGGGAAGGGCUGUUGCCAGCAGAAGUGCUGCUGCCAGCAGAAGUGUGGCUGCAAGAAGUGCUGCUGCUAGCAUGGUUCUUGGCUCUGGUUCUAAGCUAUGAAAUGCUUGGGGCCUUUCUCAUUGCAUUUGGUAAGACUUUUUGGCCACUGUUGACUUUCCGUCCUUCUUACCUACCCAUCCUGUUGGUUUCCCUCCUUCUCAUCUACCCACUGGAAAUGCUCUUUCUGAUUUUUGUGUUCUGAAUUUUCAGGCUUGUUUCUUCACUUUUUUUUUUUAAAAAUCCAUGCUCAUAGGAUUUCUUCUUCCUGUCUUCUGGAACUUAUUACUCAAUACGUAUAUAUUUGCUGUGAUCUUUCUAAUCUUGACUAGCAUAUAUUCUCAACAUCAUGGGUAAAGGCAAAGCUGCUUGUGUCAGAAAAUAUAUUUAUAUUAUGAGCUUAACCAUGAAAAUCCCUAAUAGGUCACUUCGUUGAAAAAAAUUAAGUUAUGGCUAACUUUUUACUCUUUCAUAAUAUGUAUUCACUAACUUCUUUCCUACCUGUAUAACUUUGUUUAAAAGUAAAGCAACUCAUUGUCAACAAAUAAAUAAUAAUAAUAAAAAACCUAACCUA